GACGAUCAGUAGCCGGCCUGAGAGGGCGGACGGCCACACUGGGACUGAGACACGGCCCAGACUCCUGCGGGAGGCAGCAGUGGGGAAUAUUGCACAAUGGGGGAAACCCUGAUGCAGCGACGCCGCGUGAAGGAAGAAGUAUCUCGGUAUGUAAACUUCUAUCAGCAGGGAAGAAAACAGACGGUACCUGACUAAGAAGCCCCGGCUAACUACGUGCCAGCAGCCGCGGUAAUACGUAGGGGGCAAGCGUUAUCCGGAUUUACUGGGUGUAAAGGGGGCGCAGACGGCCAUGGCAAGCCCGGUGUGAAAGGCAGGGGCAUAACCCCUGGACUGCACUGGGAACUGUCAGGCUGGAGUGCCGGAGGGGUAAGCGGAAUUCCUGGUGUAGCGGUGAAAUGCGUAGAUAUCAGGAGGAACACCGGCGGCGAAGGCGGCUUACUGGACGGCAACUGACGUUGAGGCCCGAAAGCGUGGGGAGCGAACAGGAUUAGAUACCCUGGUAGUCCACGCCGUAAACGAUGUAUACCAGGUGUCGGAUAUCAAGGAUAUCCG
RNAcentral lists this ribosomal RNA (552 nucleotides) under uncultured bacterium. RNAcentral describes it as "bacterial SSU rRNA". It matches the Rfam family "Bacterial small subunit ribosomal RNA", at positions 275 to 842 of the family's 1533-position model. The record is from RNAcentral.